UACGGAGGGGGCUAGCGUUGUCCGGAAUUACUGGGCGUAAAGCGCACGUAGGCGGCUUUGUAAGUUAGAGGUGAAAGCCCAGGGCUUAACCCUGGAAUUGCCUUUAAGACUGCAUCGCUAGAAUCGUGGAGAGGUAAGUGGAAUUCCGAGUGUAGAGGUGAAAUUCGUAGAUAUUCGGAAGAACACCAGUGGCGAAGGCGACUUACUGGACACGUAUUGACGCUGAGGUGCGAAAGCGUGGGGAGCAAACAGG
Molecule: ribosomal RNA, 253 nt
Filed under: uncultured bacterium
Lineage: Bacteria
Description: partial 16S ribosomal RNA
Rfam family: Bacterial small subunit ribosomal RNA
Source: RNAcentral